GCGGCUAUAGUGUAAUGGUUCGCACUGGAAUCUGUGGCAUUCCCAGAACGGGUUCGAAUCCCGUUAGCCGCC
Non-coding RNA from Candidatus Staskawiczbacteria bacterium, 72 nucleotides. NCBI's taxonomy places the organism in Bacteria, Candidatus Staskawicziibacteriota. The record is from Rfam.